GGGACCCGGCGCGGGCGGAUGACGCCACAGUCGUGCGGGGAGCGCGACGUCCGGAGCGGCGCCGAGGCGGAGGAUUCGGAGGCGGCGGCGGUCGGAGCGCGGCCGGACGGGGCAUCAUGGCUUCCGUGGCGCUGAGCGAGGCGGAAAAGGUUUACAUCGUGCACGGCGUCCAGGAAGACCUCCGGGUGGAUGGUCGAGGCUGUGAAGAUUAUCGCUGUGCUGAAGUGGAAACAGAUGUGGUAUCCAACACCAGUGGGUCUGCAAGAGUCAAGCUGGGGCAUACUGAUAUCCUGGUGGGGGUCAAAGCAGAAAUGGGAAUGCCAAAGUUGGAAAGACCAGAUGAAGGCUACUUGGAAUUCUUUGUGGACUGCUCAGCCAAUGCCACUCCAGAAUUUGAAGGUCGAGGAGGUGAUGACCUGGGCACCGAGAUUGCUAAUAUCCUCUACCGGAUAUUUAACAACACGGGCAGCAUGGACCUAACAUCUCUCUGCAUCAGUCCGAGGGAGCACUGCUGGAUCCUCUACGUUGAUGUGUUGUUAUUGGAAUGUGGUGGGAAUUUAUUUGAUGCCAUCUCCAUUGCUGUAAAGGCUGCUCUCUUCAAUACAAGCAUCCCCAAGGUUCGAGUAUUGGAGGAUGAAGAGGGAUCAAAGGACAUUGAACUCUCUGAUGACCCUUAUGACUGUAUUAGACUAAAUAUAGAGAACGUGCCCUGCAUCAUCACUUUAAGCAAGUGUUCUUGGUAUUUUAGAUUGGCUACAGGCACGUGGUGGAUGCCACUCUUCAGGAAGAGGCUUGUUCUUUGGCCAGUCUUCUUGUUUCUGUGACCAGCAAAGGGGUGCUGACGUGCAUGAGGAAAGUGGGGAAAGGCAGCUUGGACCCAGAAAGUGUCUACGAGAUGAUGGAGACUGGGAAACGAGUAGGCAAGGUGUUACAUGCCUCCUUGCAGGCUGUUUUACAGAAAGAAGAAAACCUGGGACCCAAGAGACAGAAAGUUGGAUUUCUGGGAUAAAUUAUACUUCAACCAUUGUAACUGUGACUUUAAAAACAAACAAAAAAAAUCUACAAAAAUUUACAUUUUUAUUGGGUGGCUUGACCUUUGUAGCAUUUGUAUGUAUAAAAUUAAACUUUAUUUUUUGAGCUGUUUUGUGUUGACAUCUUUUUUUUUGGUAGUCACAAGCAAAAGACUUCUAAUUUGAUCAAACCUUUUAGAUGCAGUUUGAGAGUGAAGUCUGUGUUUGCACCUCUCCUUCUCAUGCCCUCCAAAUGACAGCUGAGUCCAUGCUAGGUGCUAGGGCUGAUCACUGAAGGAACGGAUCUGU
Molecule: RNA transcript, 1319 nt
Organism: Dromiciops gliroides (monito del monte)
Lineage: Eukaryota; Metazoa; Chordata; Mammalia; Microbiotheria; Microbiotheriidae
Gene: EXOSC7
Gene name: exosome component 7
Exons: 8
Source: RefSeq, a predicted model, not a curated record